GGUCAAGCGAAGAAGGGCGCAGGGCGGAUGCUUGGCACUGAGAGCCGAUGAAAGACGUGAUAAGCUGCGAUAAGCUUCGGGGAGGAGCAAAUAUCCUUUGAUCCGGAGAUCUCUGAAUGGGGAAACCCGGCUGUAUGGACUACAGUCAUCCAUAAGUGAAUCCAUAGCUUAUGGAAGGGAACCCGGGGAACUGAAACAUCUAAGUACCCGGAGGAAGAGAAAGAAACAU
Molecule: ribosomal RNA, 229 nt
Filed under: Anaerobutyricum hallii
Lineage: Bacteria; Bacillati; Bacillota; Clostridia; Lachnospirales; Lachnospiraceae
Description: [Eubacterium] hallii partial 23S ribosomal RNA
Rfam family: Bacterial large subunit ribosomal RNA
Source: RNAcentral